AUGAAAAAAAAGUUUCAGUUAAUUGUUGAUAAUCAGAGAAGACAAUCACUGAUGAUACCAAAGGAGAGACCAGAAGCAGAGCCAGUUCGCAGGUGGAGAUGGAACAUUGCCUCCUAUGAACCAGAUCAUCGUGAAGUGUCACAUGACAGCCCAGGGACGUGAAACGUGGCCUGCGAAUGAUGUGAGAAGCUGAUGGGCCAGGACUUCAGGACGUUUACUGGAGGAGCUUAUGGGCCACAGGAGUUGUGAUGUUUCAGAGUGAGCCGCCUCCAUGCUGUUGAAGUAGACCUAGGUUCCUGACGCAGGUGUUUGUCCACAGGAUGAAGAACAGUUCUAUUUUGAACAGUUAUUUGUUGGGGUUCACGGCUUCUCAUGGCACUGCAUUAUCCUUCGCAUGCAAAGAUGAAAUAAGAACCCAA
This is a long non-coding RNA of Camelus dromedarius (Arabian camel), 419 nucleotides long. RefSeq lists it as uncharacterized. The transcript has 3 exons. NCBI's taxonomy places the organism in Eukaryota, Metazoa, Chordata, Mammalia, Artiodactyla, Camelidae. The record is from RefSeq and is a predicted model, not a curated record.